AAGCGGGCCUUCCACAAUGCUGGUAGCCACAGCAGUAGCUCUUCAAAUCUUUCCCUGCAUCGUCAUGUCCUAGAGCAAGAAGCAACAUCAUUACAUUGCAUCCCUUUCUGGGUGAAUUAUGGGGUUGUGGGGAGGGAAUGGCUGUUCUCUGUAACUAUGUGGUGCUGCCAUUUCCCCCUAGUAUUGCACCAGGAAAAGGACGGAACACAAUGAUGUUCUUCUCAGUAGCCACUUCCUUAAUGGAAGGUUGGCUCUUCAUUUCAGAUACCCCCCCUCCCCAUGCAAUGUUGAUAUAAUGCAGUGAGCCCUUUCUCACAAUCCCAUGAGCAGACUUUGAUGGCAGGUGGUGGGUAAGGCUAGAGCAGCUUACCUUUCCUGCAGACCUUGCAGAGUUGCUGGAUGUGCGGAUUGAGUGCCCAGACAAGCUGCUGCCGCCCUCGACAGCAUGGGGGUUCAGGGGCCGGGACGCAUCUGAGGAGCGCAAGUACCUGGUGCAUUGUAGGGAUCCCUCCCAGAGACGGCUGGGCCCCUUUGUCAGCACUGGCUGGGAGCAGCAUUCAUUCCCUUAACCUCAUUUAUUAGCCUGGCUUCUUAGCUGGGUUUGCUGCCAAGGUGCUGCCCGGAGCCCCGGGUCUCCCAGCGGUUCGGGUACCCUAACCAGGUCUUGGCUACUCAUGAGAACAGCCUCAGCACUGUAUCCAAUCCAUUGCCAAUAUCAGAAGAAUUUCUCUCCAGAACCUUAUCUAAGAAAAAUGCCCCUAUAGGAGCAUUUAUAUUGCCUCAGAACCAAUUAUCAGUUGUAUGUGAUACACAGCCCUAACAUAAAUUGCAUUGAGCAAUGAAUGCUAAAUGGGGAGUUGUACUCCAGCACUCUUACCAUGUUCUCUCAAGCACUCCAAAAUCUUGGCUACUAAUCCAGAUACAAAAUAAGCACCUGAAGAGCAGAGAAAGGGAGACAUUGAGGAGGAGGUAAUGAAAAAGGGAGAUGUCAUUUAACAACACAGGGCUUAAGGUAUUCUUGACAGGAAAGUAGUGGGUGGGCAACAUGGUCAGGGAGUGUGGCAGAAGGAAGCAGGGCAAUACCCAGAGCAGGGACCUGAGGAAACAAUAGGCAAUAGACGUUUCAACAGAAGCUUGGAAAGAAGGAAUUGGUUAAGGAAAAGGUUGCGUUGUUGCAGCAGCCCUUGAAACAACUACAAUUCCCAGGAUACUCUGGGCCUUUCCCAGGACAGCAGGAAGCAUAUGGUAGUGGUGGGGAGGGGAACCUACCAGAAGUUAUUUUUAAAAGUCAAACCGUGGGACAUACUGUCCCCUCAUUGUUGGGAAUGAAAACAAAGAAAACCCUGACCUGUCUCCUGCUGGGUGUCAGAAGUGACUUUGAUGGCUUUUCACUGUCAAAAACAUGAAACAGAGGAAACAAAGGAAUAAAUACGGACUUGGUGAAAAACUCAAGAGUGACACAUCCUGGUUGUGACAGAGAUAUCCUGUAUACUCACAGGAUAAAUCCAUUUAACUGAAAUGUUAGCUCCACCAAUUUCAGAUGUGCUCAGCGAUUCUCCAAGCAAGACUGAAAACUGUUAAUAAACAUCAGAAGUGCAUGAGUACAAGUUUUUGGUGUGCCAUUGUGGCUCACAAAUAUGGCUCAUUAUUUUAUGACUGAACUGGUCACAGUAGACAUGCACCAUUUCCAAGAUUUCUUGUGGGGGAUGUGCAUGAAUUGAAACGAAGACAACCAAUCAAGAUGAAUCAUGGUCAACCAUACUGACUAUACAAAUGGCCACUGCACAUGUGUGGAGAAAAUGUGUGUGCUGCCACCAUGUGAGGGGUACGGGGGGGGGGGGAGCUGCCGCAGCAGGAAGCUACAUGGGGCAGCAGAGGAGCAGGUGUGGACCUGCUCUUCUCACUUUUAAAGGUUUCGAAUCUGUGCACGAAUCUUGAUUCAUGCACAUCAUUGUCUUCCUCUGUGGAGGCCCACAAUAGUUCCCCCCCCCAUUAAUAUUUGUGAACUCCUACCAUAGGUUUAUGAUCAUUUAAAAAUAUGUAGAAGAAACUAUGUUUUGAAGUCAUUUUAACCAUUCCAAACUGAUUAAAAGAUCACUUUAGAAUGUGUUCAUUCAAUAUUUAAAUAACACCUCAAAUACAGCUGUUUAAUGGAAAUGUCUUACUUAAGACUUAUGGAAACACUUCUAAUAGAGAUCCAUGCUUUUGCUAGGAAUACAUUCCUAUCAAGUGUGGAGCAACUGAGACAUUGUCUGAAGAAGUAUUUCCAGCAUCUUUUGGCUUCAUAGGAUACCAUCCAUGGGAGGGGAAAAUACUGAUUGUCUGCUUUUCCUACAAAAAAGAUAUAGGAAAUAGACUUGAUGAGAUCAGGAUGUUUUCAAUGCAAGGGCCUUUUCGGUUGUGGCUCCACAGCUUUAGAAUGCCCUCCCUGAAGAGCUUCGCCAUGCUCCCUCUCAGUGUUUUAAAAAAACAACUAAAACCACAUCUUUUUAAAGAUACUUUUUAAUGUUUCAUCUGUUGUGUCUAUCUGGUAGGUUCUGUUUUUAUAAUUCUUAGAUUUUAGCUUUAAGAAUUUAAUUUGGAAUUUUAAAGCCUAAUUAUGAUUGUGGUUUUAGCUUGGAUUUUUAACUUGUUCCAUUUGGUUAAUUUUAUUAGUCUGAUUUUAUGUUGUAACUGUUUUAUACAUGUUGCAAGCCACCCCAAGCAGUAAUGUACUGGAGGGGCGGGGUAUAAAUAUUUUAAAUAAAUAAACAGACAAAUAAAUAAA
Molecule: long non-coding RNA, 2767 nt
Organism: Hemicordylus capensis (graceful crag lizard)
Lineage: Eukaryota; Metazoa; Chordata; Lepidosauria; Squamata; Cordylidae
Exons: 4
Source: RefSeq, a predicted model, not a curated record